Molecule: ribosomal RNA, 1240 nt
Filed under: metagenome
Description: bacterial LSU rRNA
Rfam family: Bacterial large subunit ribosomal RNA
Source: RNAcentral
UGAAUACGAGACGCUAAGGCGUCGAAGUAGUGUAUGUCAUACUUCCAAGAAAAGCUUGCACUGUCAUAGAUAAAAAACGCCUGUACCAUAACCGACACAGGUGGGUAGGUAGAGUAUACUAAGGGGCGCGAGAUAACUCUCUCUAAGGAACUCGGCAAAAUAACUCCGUAACUUCGGGAGAAGGAGUGCCUUAUUCGUAAGGUUGCAAUAACAAGAUCCAAGCAACUGUUUAUCAAAAACACAGGUCUCCGCUAAGUCGUAAGACGAUGUAUGGGGGCUGACGCCUGCCCAGUGCCAGAAGGUUAAAGAAGUUGGUUAGCAAUUGCGAAGCUGAUAACUGAAGCCCUGGUGAACGGCGGCCGUAACUAUAACGGUCCUAAGGUAGCGAAAUUCCUUGUCGGGUAAGUUCCGACCCGCACGAAAGGCGUAAUGAUUUGGAUACUGUCUCGGAGAGGGGCUCGGUGAAAUAGACUUGUCUGUGAAGAUGCGGACUACCUGCACCAGGACAGAAAGACCCUAUGAAGCUUUACUGUAACUUGAAAUUGAAAUUGGACUUUAUUCGCGCAGUAUAGGUGGGAGGCGUUGAUUAUAAUCUUGUGGGAUUAUUGGAGCCAUCAGUGAGAUACCACUCUUGUAAUGUUAGAUUUCUAACUUUGAAUCAUUAUCUGGUCAAAGAACAGUUUCAGGCGGGCAGUUUGACUGGGGCGGUCGCCUCCUACGGUAACGGAGGCGUACAAAGGUUUCCUCUGAACGGUUAGAAAUCGUAUCUAGAGUGUAAAGGCAUAAGGAAGCUUGACUGUGAGACCUACAAGUCGAGCAGGGACGAAAGUCGGUCUUAGUGAUCUGACGGUACUGAGUGGAAAGGCCGUCACUCAACGGAUAAAAGUUACUCUAAGGAUAACAGGCUGAUCUCCCCCAAGAGUUCACAUCGACGGGGAGGUUUGGCACCUCGAUGUCGGCUCAUCGCAUCCUGGGGCGGUAGUACGUCCCAAGGGUUGGGCUGUUCGCCCAUGAAAGCGGUACGCGAGCUGGGUUCAGAACGUCGUGAGACAGUUCGGUCCAUAUCCGGUGUAGGCGUUAGAAUAUUGAGAGGAGCCUUCUUUAGUACGAGAGGACCGAGAAGGACAUACCUCUGGUGUACCAGUUAUCGUGCCAACGGUAAACGCUGGGUAGCUAUGUAUGGAGUGGAUAACCGCUGAAAGCAUCUAAGUGGGAAGCCCACCUCAAGAUAAGUAUUCUC